Molecule: long non-coding RNA, 599 nt
Filed under: Homo sapiens (human)
Lineage: Eukaryota; Metazoa; Chordata; Mammalia; Primates; Hominidae
Description: non-protein coding lnc-ZNF519-1:3
Source: RNAcentral
UUCCGGAAUCUGGCGCGGCCUUUGUCUCACUUCAGCCAGAGCGCGGGGUUAGGGCUUCAUUGCCUUGUGUCCUCUGCUCCGGGAGACUUCGGUGAUUCUGCCACUCACUCCGUCGCUCUGUGACCUGCUGGCAUUGAAUGAUUUAUAGCUAAGACUCCAGGACACCCCUGAAGCCGAGAAAUGCUGUGUAUUCUUAUUACAACCAAGGCAUUUUACCAGAGCAAGGCAUACAAGAUUCAUUCAAAAAAGCAACACUGGGAAGAUAUGGGAGCUGUGGCCUUGAAAAUAUAUGCUUAUGGAAAAACUGGGAAAGUAUAGGUGAAGGUGAAGGACAAAAGGAAUGUUAUAAUCUAUGUAGCCAAUAUUUGACAACUAGUCAUAACAAACAUUUAACUGUGAAAGGAGACAAAGAAUAUAGAAUAUUUCAGAAGAAGCCUCAGUUUCUGUCAGCUGCUCCUACAGAACCAUGUAUUCCUAUGAAUAAAUAUCAACAUAAAUUUUUGAAAUCUGUCUUUUGUAAUAAAAAUCAGAUAAAUUUUAACCAUGACUCAAAUAUUAGUAAACAUCAUAGUACUCAUUUUCUAGAAAACUAUUACAAU